GGGAAAUCUUUGGAGCUUGCUUUGAGGAUUCCUAGUGGCGCACGGGUGAGUAACACGUGAGUAACAUGCCUCGUAGAGGGGAAUAGCCCGCCGAAAGGCGGAUUAAUACCCCAUAGUCCCGCAAGGGUAAAGGUGGCUUCGGCUGUCGCUACGAGAUUGGCUCGCGUCCUAUCAGCUUGUUGGUGAGGUAACGGCUCACCAAGGCAACGACGGGUAGCUGGUCUGAGAGGACGAUCAGUCACACUGGAACUGAGACACGGUCCAGACACCUACGGGUGGCAGCAGUCGAGAAUAAUUCACAAUGGGGGAAACCCUGAUGGUGCAACGCCGCGUGGAGGAUGAAGGCCCUAGGGUCGUAAACUCCUGUCAUUUGAGAGUAAGACCUGGUCGUUAAUAGCGGACAGGGUUGAUAGUAUCAAAAGAGGAAGGGACGGCUAACUUCGUGCCAGCAGCCGCGGUAAUACGAAGGUCCCGAGCGUUGUUCGGAAUCACUGGGCGUAAAGGGAGCGUAGGCGGUUAGGUAAGUCAGAUGUGAAAUCCCGGGGCUCAACCUCGGAACUGCAUCCGAUACUGCCUGACUAGAGUAAUGGAGGGGUAACUGGAAUUCUCGGUGUAGCAGUGAAAUGCGUAGAGAUCGAGAGGAACACUCGUGGCGAAGGCGAGUUACUGGACAUUUACUGACGCUGAGGCUCGAAGGCCAGGGUAGCGAAAGGGAUUAGAUACCCCUGUAGUCCUGGCAGUAAACGGUGUGCGCUUGGUGUGAGGGGUUUCGACCCCCCUUGUGCCGGAGCUAACGCGUUAAGCGCACCGCCUGGGGAGUACGGUCGCAAGACUAAAACUCAAAGAAAUUGACGGGGACCCGCACAAGCGGUGGGAGUAUGUGGCUUAAUUCGAUGCAACGCGAAGAACCUUACCAGGGCUUGACAUGCAUUGCUAAUUCCGUGAAAGCGGAUGAGUCUUCGGACACCUUGCACAGGUGCUGCAUGGCCGUCGUCAGCUCGUGU
RNAcentral lists this ribosomal RNA (1004 nucleotides) under uncultured marine bacterium. Its description in RNAcentral is "bacterial SSU rRNA". It matches the Rfam family "Bacterial small subunit ribosomal RNA", at positions 68 to 1065 of the family's 1533-position model. The record is from RNAcentral.